RNAcentral lists this ribosomal RNA (180 nucleotides) under uncultured bacterium. RNAcentral describes it as "partial 16S ribosomal RNA". It matches the Rfam family "Bacterial small subunit ribosomal RNA", at positions 1320 to 1500 of the family's 1533-position model. The record is from RNAcentral.
AUGAAGCCGGAAUUGCUAGUAAUGGCAGGUCAGCAUACUGCCGUGAAUACGUUCCCGGGCCUUGUACACACCGCCCGUCACACCAUGAGAGUUGGGAAUACCCGAAGCCUGUGAGCUAACUUUUAGAGGCAGCAGUCGAAGGUAGAAUCAAUGACUGGGGUGAAGUCGUAACAAGGUAUC